This is a long non-coding RNA of Lathyrus oleraceus (garden pea), 882 nucleotides long. RefSeq lists it as uncharacterized. The transcript is spliced from 2 exons. The record is from RefSeq and is a predicted model, not a curated record. NCBI's taxonomy places the organism in Eukaryota, Viridiplantae, Streptophyta, Magnoliopsida, Fabales, Fabaceae.
UGCAUAAAGGCCUUGAUAAACGAUCAUUUUUUUCCAUUUUCUUGUUACAACAAAAAUAAAUGUAGUGUGACAACAUUGUAUAUUAGCGCUUUACAGAACUAUAAGUUUUUUUAACCAAAAUAUAUUAAAUUAUUCCAGUUUUUGGAAUAGUAAGUGGUAAGGUCCUCUUCAUUAAAAAUGAGAGUCACCUCCUCCAUCGUGCCGGAGGUCACCUUCGGCGGCGGCGGAGGGCCAAUCUGAGAAAUUUACACACCUUUCAGUUCAUCUCUACAUGCUCUAAUCAAAUCCAAAACUAAUUUCACCAAAUUCGAACUCUAAAGUCCUAACCGAAUCAGUUUUCUCCAAGAACCCUAAACACAAAUUGUUAAAUUAAAUCACCACCCCAUGAAAUCAAAGUCCAAGGUGUUAGGGCGUUGAUUCCCUACAACUCAACUCACAUCUCCGUAACUGGUUUGAAGCAAAAUGAUGGAAUCAAGGACUUACCCUGCCAGAGAAGAUGAAGAUGUCAGCAAAAUUUCCAGGGUAUUUGGAAAUAAUGAAGGGUUGGAACAAAGGCAUACAAAGUGGCUUGCAUUUCAAGAAACAUUGGAACAUGGGGAUGGCAAAUUUACGAACAUGUGGACCCUUGAAGAUUCAAACAACAAAGAUGACUUGUAGAAAAGUAAAAAUAGGAACUGAGGUUUAUGAUGGGUGAAAUUAGUCAGUUGACCGUUAACCAAAAAGUUAAUAGUUGACCAAAAGUCAAUUGGGGUCAAAAUUUGUAAUUAUUUGGUUUUGUAUGGUUUGAUUUGCAAUGAUUCAUGGUGUAAUGAUGUAAUGAUACUUUGUAAAGCAAUGAAUUCCCCUUAAUUUGAAAUGCAAACGAACUUGAAUUUGAAUGCA